Molecule: ribosomal RNA, 543 nt
Filed under: Triticum aestivum (bread wheat)
Lineage: Eukaryota; Viridiplantae; Streptophyta; Magnoliopsida; Poales; Poaceae
Description: partial small subunit ribosomal RNA
Source: RNAcentral
AUGGCAAAUGCUGAAAGAGCGACUGCUCCGAGACCUGCUAGCCAACAUAGGCCAACGAGAUGGCGGCCACCUGAUGACGAGGAGUGUGUGAAGAUAACUGUGGACGGCGCGAUCUCUCGCCGAGGAACCACAGGGGCGGUAGCGGCAGUGUGUAGGGACGGUUUUGGAAAUUAUUUGGGAGCUUCGGCAAUUGUUCUUGACGGACUAGUUGAUGCUCCAAGCCUUGAAGCCCAUGCAUGUAAUGAAGCUCUUGUUCUGGCCAUGGAUCUCAAUGUUUCACAUGCGAUAAUAGGCUCUGAUUGCAUGCAAGUUGUCACAGACAUCAAGAGAGGUGCCAAUGCCUCUUAUGCUUUUUUGCUUAGUGAGAUCAAUGAGAGGAUGAAAGAUUUUGUAAAGAUUAGCUUCUAUUUUGAGAGAAGAGAGUCGAACUUUGAGGCGCAUGCUUUGGCUAAGGCAGCGUCGUCGCUCCCGGCGGGUCGCCACAUGUGGCUAGGGAUCCUACCAGACAUUAUUUGUAUUCCUUCUGUUUUGGACUUUGAAUAA